GGACAGAAAGACCCUAUGAAGCUUGACUGUAGCCUGAGAUUGGGUUUGGGUUCUUCUUGCGCAGCCUAGGUGGGAGGUGUUGAUUGCUUACUUGCGGGUAAGUUGUAGCCGUCAGUGAGAGACCACUCUGGAAGAGCUAGAAUUCUAAUAGCGAUCCUUGAAUCAGGACGCUUGACAGUCUCAGGUGGGCAGUUUCUUUGGGGCGAAGACCUCCUAAAAGGUAACGGAGGUGUGCAAAGGUUCCUUCAGGCUGGACGGAAAUCAGUCGAAGAGUGUAAAGAUAGAAGGGAGCUUGACUGCAAGACCUACAAGUCGAGCAGGGGCGAAAGCCGGCCUUAGUGAUCCGACGGUUCCGUGUGGAAGGGCCGUCGCUCAACGGAUAAAAGUUACUCUAGGGAUAACAGGCUGA
Molecule: ribosomal RNA, 409 nt
Filed under: uncultured Leptosira
Lineage: Eukaryota; Viridiplantae; Chlorophyta; Trebouxiophyceae
Description: bacterial LSU rRNA
Rfam family: Bacterial large subunit ribosomal RNA
Source: RNAcentral